Molecule: long non-coding RNA, 543 nt
Organism: Solanum stenotomum
Lineage: Eukaryota; Viridiplantae; Streptophyta; Magnoliopsida; Solanales; Solanaceae
Exons: 2
Source: RefSeq, a predicted model, not a curated record
UUACUAUUAUUACUGUUGAUAUUUGAAUCCAUAUGCUCAACAUUUUUACAAAUAUCGACUCUUUUUUCAAUAGGGUAAUUCAAAGAGAUUCUCAUAUGCGACACUGUGAAAAACUAAAAGAAUAGGUCAUGUCAUUGCCGAGGAAUGUGAUGAAAUGAUAAAUAUUUCUUCGUCCUUCAUCAAAGUUUUCGAAUUCAACUCAUGAAAAUUAAAAACUCCUUCCUUAAGAGUUUGUGUUACUCCAAUCCCUUCUUGGUGGAAUUACGCGAAUUCAAAUUAAUCGGCUUGGUGAGUUAAAAGAUAAAGAAUAUGGUUAAACCAAAAAAAAAAAAAACAGAGAGAAUAGGCAGGGUAGUAGUACUAAAUAUUCUCUAUAAAUAUUACUUAGUACUUGAUACUUAUAUAUACAACAACAAAAAAAAAGGUAAAACCCUUUCAUACAAAAACAAACCAAAAUUGAAAAAAAAAAAUCAUUGAGAUUUCCAUGGAAAACACUUAAGAUUAGAACAAGAACCAUCCCAAGUAGCACUACACCCAACACCA